AAUAAUACCCAGUAGUACGCAGAAUCACUCGGGGAAACAAGGAUCGUCUCUGGAUUCCACGUUAAUAAUCAGAAAAUGGCAAAACCGGCCGAUGUCACGUAGAGGUACAAACAGCAAGUCGACGCAGUGGCGGGAUCGAAUCUAGGGGAUUUCUCGAAACCGGAACUGACGGAAAUAACUUGGUCGUUACUCGUGAGGGGAAACUGCUCCGCCGAUCGUAUUGAACGAAAUUUCGGCUCGCUCGUGGCGCAAUUAUGCGUGUCGUCCGGAGAGUGGCGGAAGGUCGAUUCGAAAUUUAGACAUGGAUGUUCGAUUCGUUACCAAGCUAUAGAUGAGUGCGGUAUACCGUUGGUGUAUCUACACUAGGGUAAACAAAGUAGUGUGGAAACGGUAGCUGAGAAAAAGGGGUCUAGCAGGAUAUGACAGGACACUUUCAAAAUGUCUGAAAAUAAAACCCCAGGGAACAUGAUGAACAUCACUUAACUGCCACUCCACUCCGUCGUGGGCCCAGGCUGGAGCCUCCCUAAUUGAGAUGCGCCAACAGCCAAUCGGGCUACCAAAUUAUAGGGCCCCGGAGGAAAGCGAUUGUCGACCAAACAGGGAGCACAAACAAACAGUAAUGAUCUAGCUUCGGUUCCUAGAAGGAAACGUGGAAGAAAAUGGAAAAGUCAGACCUCCAAGUUACCCAGACAAACCCACCCUUCCUCGACUGGAAACCAGAAGAGGACACGCAGCGCCGUGAAUGGAAUUGGAGCCAUGUGCCUUAACUACUCAUUCAGCCUUAGAUGGUUUAGAGAUUAGAUAUCGAGAAAAGGGUCUUUUUGUUCUCUGAAUGAGUUCUUCGGCGUCUUAUGGCUCCCUACGUGUUAUACCUACGACGAGGAGACGUGAAAGAGGACGUUUUAUCAUGGCUACCGAUCGCACGUAUGUCAGGCACGUGAGGUGAACGUUGACACAAAAAUGGUCUGAUUUAUUAAGCUAGGAAAUAGCGAUAAUAACAGCCUCCGCUAGU
Molecule: long non-coding RNA, 1012 nt
Organism: Cephus cinctus (wheat stem sawfly)
Lineage: Eukaryota; Metazoa; Arthropoda; Insecta; Hymenoptera; Cephidae
Exons: 3
Source: RefSeq, a predicted model, not a curated record